CCUGGCGGCAAUAGCGCGGUGGUCCCACCUGACCCCAUGCCCGAACUCAGAAGUGAAACGCCGUAGCGCCGAUGGUAGUGUGGGGUCUCCCCAUGCGAGAGUAGGACACUGCCAGGC
This 117-nucleotide ribosomal RNA is filed under the name Serratia marcescens. The record is from RNAcentral. Lineage: Bacteria; Pseudomonadati; Pseudomonadota; Gammaproteobacteria; Enterobacterales; Yersiniaceae.